AACAUCGCGCACCUGCGGGAACCUGCGGAAGGAUCAUUACAGAGUUGCACGACUCACCAAACCAUCGCGAACCCUACCUAACCGUUGCUUCGGCGGGCGGCGCCCAGCGCCCCUAGGCCCCCCCACGGGGCGCCCGCCGGAGGACUGAACCCUCUGGCAGAACGUGGCCGCUCUGAGUCUACUGAACCAGUCAAAACUUUCAACAAUGGAUCU
RNAcentral lists this unclassified non-coding RNA (213 nucleotides) under soil metagenome. RNAcentral's name for it is "partial contains 5.8S ribosomal RNA, internal transcribed spacer 2, and large subunit ribosomal RNA". The record is from RNAcentral.